AAGACCUCAAAUCAGGUGGGACUACCUGCUGAACUUAAGCAUAUCAAUAAGCAGAGGAAAAGAGACUAACAAGGAUUCCCCUAGUAAUGGCGAAUGAAGAGGGAAAAGCCCAAAUUUGUAAUCUGGCUCUUUCAGAGUCCGAGUUGUAAUUUUAAGAACUGUUUUCAGUGCUGGACCAUGUACAAGUCUUCUGAAAAGAAGCAUCAUAGAAGGUGAUAAUCCUGUUCAUGAUAUGGACUACCAGUGCAAUAUGAUACAGUCUCUAAGAGUCGAGUUGUUUGGGAAUGCAGCUCAAAGUGGGUGGUAAAUUCCAUCUAAGGCUAAAUAUUGAUGAGAGACCGAUAGCAAACAAGUACCGUGAGGGAAAGAUGAAAAGAACUUUGGAAAGAGAGUUAACAGUACGUGAAAUUGUUAAAAGGGAAACAAUUGAAGUUAGACUUGUUAUUAUUAGUUCAACCUUUUUAAAGGGAGUAUUCUAAUGAUUAACAGACCAACAUCAAUUUUUGGGUGUUGGAGAAGGGUUUAAGGAAAUGUAGCAGUUUCUGACUGUGUUAUAUUCCUGAACUUUGAUACAAUGCUUAGGAUUGAGGAAGGCAGUAAGC
This 602-nucleotide ribosomal RNA is filed under the name Puccinia sp. R79F. RNAcentral's name for it is "eukaryotic LSU rRNA". It matches the Rfam family "Eukaryotic large subunit ribosomal RNA", at positions 1 to 606 of the family's 3401-position model. Lineage: Eukaryota; Fungi; Basidiomycota; Pucciniomycetes; Pucciniales; Pucciniaceae. The record is from RNAcentral.